GCCGCGAUCGCGUAAUCUGGUAUCGCACAAGCCUGGAAAGCUUGGCCCUCCGGGGCAUCCCGGUUCAAAUCCGGGUCGCGGCG
This 83-nucleotide transfer RNA is filed under the name Candidatus Woesearchaeota archaeon. RNAcentral describes it as "tRNA-Ser". It matches the Rfam family "tRNA". Rfam says of the family: Transfer RNA (tRNA) molecules are approximately 80 nucleotides in length. Their secondary structure includes four short double-helical elements and three loops (D, anti-codon, and T loops). Lineage: Archaea; Nanobdellati; Candidatus Woesearchaeota. The record is from RNAcentral.